UCCUAGAGACCGGCGCACGGGUGCGUAACGCGUAUGCAAUCUACCUUGUACAGGGGAAUAGCCCAGAGAAAUUUGGAUUAAUGCCCCAUAGUAUUAUUAAAUGGCAUCCUUUAAUAAUUAAAGUUCCAACGGUACAAGAUGAGCAUGCGUCCUAUUAGUUAGUUGGUGUGGUAACGGCAUACCAAGACGAUGAUAGGUAGGGGUCCUGAGAGGGAGAUCCCCCACACUGGUACUGAGACACGGACCAGACUCCUACGGGAGGCAGCAGUGAGGAAUAUUGGACAAUGGGCGCAAGCCUGAUCCAGCCAUGCCGCGUGCAGGAAGACGGUCCUAUGGAUUGUAAACUGCUUUUAUACAGGAAGAAACACUGGUUCGUGAACCAGCUUGACGGUACUGUAAGAAUAAGGAUCGGCUAACUCCGUGCCAGCAGCCGCGGUAAUACGGAGGAUCCAAGCGUUAUCCGGAAUCAUUGGGUUUAAAGGGUCCGUAGGCGGCCUUAUAAGUCAGUGGUGAAAUCUCCUAGCUCAACUAGGAAAUGGCCAUUGAUACUGUAGGGCUUGAAUUAUUGUGAAGUAACUAGAAUAUGUAGUGUAGCGGUGAAAUGCUUAGAUAUUACAUGGAAUACCAAUUGCGAAGGCAGGUUGCUAACAAUAUAUUGACGCUGAUGGACGAAAGCGUGGGGAGCGAACAGGAUUAGAUACCCUGGUAGUCCACGCCGUANACGAUGGAUACUAGCUGUUUGGAGCAAUCUGAGUGGCUAAGCGAAAGUGAUAAGUAUCCCACCUGGGGAGUACGAACGCA
RNAcentral lists this ribosomal RNA (801 nucleotides) under uncultured bacterium. RNAcentral's name for it is "bacterial SSU rRNA". It matches the Rfam family "Bacterial small subunit ribosomal RNA", at positions 86 to 890 of the family's 1533-position model. The record is from RNAcentral.